AAGAAGUUAGUUUAUACAAAACAUAAUCUUGUCAAGAUUAAAAAAUUAUUCCAAUACUCCUUA
RNAcentral lists this transfer RNA (63 nucleotides) under Mezira sp. RNAcentral's name for it is "tRNA-Asp". The record is from RNAcentral. Lineage: Eukaryota; Metazoa; Arthropoda; Insecta; Hemiptera; Aradidae.